CGGGGGAGCAAGCGUUGUUCGGAUUUACUGGGCGUAAAGGGCGCGUAGGCGGCCAGCGCAAGUCAGUUGUGAAAUCUCCGAGCUUAACUCGGAAAGGUCAACUGAUACUGCGCGGCUAGAGUGCGGAAGGGGCAACUGGAAUUCUUGGUGUAGCGGUGAAAUGCGUAGAUAUCAAGAGGAACACCUGCGGCGAAGGCGGGUUGCUGGGCCGACACUGACGCUGAGGCGCGAAAGCCAGGGGAGCGAACGGGAUUAGAUACCCCGGUAGUCCUGGCCUUAAACGAUGAAUGCUUGGUGUCUGGGGUUACAUAGUCCCCGGGUGCCGUCGCUAACGCUUUAAGCAUUCCGCCUGGGGAGUACGGUCGCAAGACUG
RNAcentral lists this ribosomal RNA (373 nucleotides) under uncultured organism. RNAcentral's name for it is "bacterial SSU rRNA". It matches the Rfam family "Bacterial small subunit ribosomal RNA", at positions 527 to 896 of the family's 1533-position model. The record is from RNAcentral.